GGCGGGAGCUAGACAGCCCGCGGUGGCGCGUUGGGUGGAGAGACCUGUAAUUAUCUUGUCAUGCAGCGAUCAAAACAACUGGGAACUGGGACUUCAGUGCGUUUAAAACAAGAUCACCGACCUCAUGAUUUGACCUCGUAUUUUUCAGAGAUCCCAGUUGUUUUGAACUCUGCAUCAGUAUGUCUAUAAUUAUUGAGUAGACGCAGGUCGAGCAUCCGCGUAUCCACCUGAAGUCCAUAAAGCAGAAAUGCUAAACUGACCUUAGAUCAGGCAUUCUACUCCGAUUCACACACCGAAACCGAAACAAGGUGAUGAACCUCUCAGAGGAGAACAGGACAGUCGUGGUCUCUGGUGUACCAGACACACUGUCCAGCAGCCGCAUGGCAGACAAACUGGUUAUUCACUUCCAGAGCUCCAGAAGCCGCGGAGGAGAUGUAGAAAACAUCAAGUACCCGACCAGCUUCAAGGGGGUGGCUUUUGUUACAUUUGAAAACACCAGAGAUGCUGAGAUGGUCAUCAGAAAGAAGCAGAUAAUGUCUGACAAGGAGUUCCCUCAAGACUACCCUAUCACUGUUCAGAUUCACCCAAGACUACCCUAUCACUGUUCAGAUUCACCCAAGACUACCCUAUCACUGUUCAGAUUCACCCAAGACUACCCUAUCACUGUUCAGAUUCACCCAAGACUACCCUAUCACUGUUCAGAUUCACCCAAGACUACCCUAUCACUGUGUUCAGAUUCACCCAAGACUACCCUAUCACUGUUCAGAUUCACCCAAGACUACCCUAUCACUGUUCAGAUUCACCCAAGACUACCCUAUCACUGUUCAGAUUCACCCAAGACUACCCUAUCACUGUUCAGAUUCACCCAAGACUACCCUAUCACUGUUCAGAUUCACCCAAGACUACCCUAUCACUGUUUCAGAUUCACCCAAGACUA
Oncorhynchus gorbuscha (pink salmon) is the source of this 937-nucleotide long non-coding RNA. RefSeq lists it as uncharacterized. The transcript is spliced from 3 exons. The record is from RefSeq and is a predicted model, not a curated record. NCBI's taxonomy places the organism in Eukaryota, Metazoa, Chordata, Actinopteri, Salmoniformes, Salmonidae.